Pseudopipra pipra is the source of this 389-nucleotide long non-coding RNA. RefSeq lists it as uncharacterized. The transcript is spliced from 3 exons. Lineage: Eukaryota; Metazoa; Chordata; Aves; Passeriformes; Pipridae. The record is from RefSeq and is a predicted model, not a curated record.
CAAGGAAAGCCAAGAAACCUUUGCUUUGGAAGGAGAAAAUGGGGAAAGCAGAAAGGAAGAAAAGCAGCCCCCUGACUCCUCCCUGAGCCCCAGACAGCCCAUGAACUGCCUUGCUGGGAAUGGUAGGAUGGGGUGGACUCUGGAUUGCUCCCUCUGGAUGUGUGGCUCUCCCCUCAGGAACUCCAGGAACUCCUGGUGCCGCCUGGGCCGAUGGAUUGGACGCCCCAGCCCCUCCGUUCCUGCCCAGCCACUGGGUCCGUGUCCAGUGGUGGCACUGCCAGCCCUGCAGUGGGAUGUAGCCUGGAAAGUGCACAGAGCUGAGCCAAGGGAUUGAAAGGGACCAAGCAAGGGAGGUGAAGAAGGAAGGAAGAAGGGAAGUGAGGCAGCAG